AGGUGCAGACAGUGAGAAGAGUCGAUCUCUCGGAGGCAUGGUGCCUGGUACAGGUUGAUGACACAGUCGUAAGAAUGUUAGUCAAACGGGUACAGUUGAUGUGCAUCAGUUCCGGUGCAGAAGGAGUGACCAGGGGUUGGUCACUGGAGCGUGGAGUGAAUACUGGCUCCGUGGAGCUCAUCAAGAAUCCACUCUGAUGGCCAGGUCAAUGUUGCUGUCGAGGGUCUGAGGAAGUUUGCAGGUGGCAAAGGAGGUGACGAGCCACAGAGUGCCCCACAGCUGACUGGUCAAAGACUUUCCUCAUCACAGAGGCGAAAGGAAUAAAGUCGACACUCAGUAGCCACAGAGUCCCAAAAGGCUGUUCCACACUCGUGCCUUUCCAGCCAACAAGGUGAUCACAUAGGUGACUUUUGAGCAUUUGUUUGGAAAUGACGAAGGCUGAAGUCUGGACACCAAGGAACAUUGCGAGAGGAAGGACCGACAGGAACCCGGCUUAUUGAUUUCAAAUAAAGGGAAAAGUUCCAGGAAAACUUGGCAGAAAAUCUGGUUGCCUCUGUCAGGAAGCUGAGACUUGGGCAAAGGUAGAUUCUCCAGCAGAACAAUGACUCCAAACAUACAUCAAAAUCCACACAGAAAUGGUUAAGUAAAAACACCAACCAUGUUCUGCAAUGGCCAUCUUAGCUUAAAUGCCAUGAAAAACUUGUGGUCUGAACUGAAGAGGGGGUAUCCCACCAAUGAUUAAGAAACGUUCUACA
This is a long non-coding RNA of Conger conger (European conger), 755 nucleotides long. RefSeq lists it as uncharacterized. The transcript has 3 exons. Lineage: Eukaryota; Metazoa; Chordata; Actinopteri; Anguilliformes; Congridae. The record is from RefSeq and is a predicted model, not a curated record.